This 253-nucleotide ribosomal RNA is filed under the name uncultured bacterium. RNAcentral describes it as "partial 16S ribosomal RNA". It matches the Rfam family "Bacterial small subunit ribosomal RNA", at positions 524 to 776 of the family's 1533-position model. The record is from RNAcentral.
UACGGAGGGUGCAAGCGUUAUCCGGAUUUACUGGGUUUAAAGUGUGCGUAGGCGGGCUUUUAAGUCAGCGGUGAAAGCUUCGAGCUUAACUCGGAAAUUGCCGUUGAUACUAUUAGUCUUGAAUUAAGUUGAGGUGGGCGGAAUGUGUCAUGUAGCGGUGAAAUGCUUAGAUAUGACACAGAACACCGAUUGCGAAGGCAGCUCGCUAAACUUAUAUUGACGCUGAGGCACGAAAGCGUGGGGAUCAAACAGG